GAGCAGCUGAAGGGGAAAAAUGGGUCUAUUACUUUUGGCAGAACUAGGUAAUUUAUAUACUACUAUAUUUCUCUUUCCCAUAACCUUCAUUUGGGCAUCACAGGACAAAAAUUUUCAAACCAAGGUACCUCAAAUAGGCUAAUUUACAGAAUGUAUCCAAAAUCUGGGAACCAUCACUCCCAUGAAAUUGACAAAUUGUAUAAAACCUUUUAUGACAAAAUGGUCAUAAAACAGUUUAUGACAUAAUACAAAAUGUCAUAAAACAUUUCCUGUGCUGAGGUUUGUGCUAUCCAGUUCAACAUGGGCUAUUUUCAAAGCAGAUCCACCUCUGAACGUACUUUUCCACUUCUCCAGGGAAGGCAGCACAUUAGAAGUCCUGUCAUUGUCAAAGGCAUUGAGAAAUCUGGUCCCUGUGAUUUACGAAGUUCCUUUACCGUUUCUAAGAACUCUUUACCACCAGCUUUUUCCAAUGCUUUGCCUGACCAAAAGGAAAAGAAAGGAAGGUAUGUUUCUAUUGCAGUUCUUAACAGGUCUUUAUGUAUAUAUGCAGAGGUGCAGAUUCAAACUGAAUGGUCAGUCAUUACUUUGGAAUGGAUUCUCUCAUUAGUU
This is a long non-coding RNA of Pantherophis guttatus, 609 nucleotides long. RefSeq lists it as uncharacterized. The record is from RefSeq and is a predicted model, not a curated record. Lineage: Eukaryota; Metazoa; Chordata; Lepidosauria; Squamata; Colubridae.